Molecule: ribosomal RNA, 433 nt
Filed under: uncultured bacterium
Lineage: Bacteria
Description: bacterial SSU rRNA
Rfam family: Bacterial small subunit ribosomal RNA
Source: RNAcentral
UGAGGAAUAUUGGUCAAUGGGCGAGAGCCUGAACCAGCCAAGUCGCGUGAGGGAAGAAUGGUCUAUGGCCUGUAAACCUCUUUUGUCAGGGAAGAAUAAGGAUGACGAGUCAUUCGAUGCCAGUACUUGACGAAUAAGCAUCGGCUAACUCCGUGCCAGCAGCCGCGGUAAUACGGGGGAUGCGAGCGUUAUCCGGAUUUAUUGGGUUUAAAGGGCGCGUAGGCGGGACGUCAAGUCAGCGGUAAAAGACUGCAGCUAAACUGUAGCACGCCGUUGAAACUGGCGCCCUGGAGACGAGACGAGGGAGGCGGAACAAGUGAAGUAGCGGUGAAAUGCAUAGAUAUCACUUGGAACCCCGAUAGCGAAGGCAGCUUCCCAGGCUCGUUCUGACGCUGAUGCGCGAGAGCGUGGGUAGCGAACAGGAUUAGAUACC